Molecule: long non-coding RNA, 564 nt
Organism: Carassius gibelio (silver crucian carp)
Lineage: Eukaryota; Metazoa; Chordata; Actinopteri; Cypriniformes; Cyprinidae
Exons: 3
Source: RefSeq, a predicted model, not a curated record
ACAGAUCAUGUCGACAUAAAUAUAUAUCCUGACUGAGUAUUUUACGUUUAGAGAUAUUAUGCAUGAUAUAUUUGUAUGGCUUUCUUUCUAAAGUGGAACACAUAAGAAAAAAAAUGAAGAGUGUGAGUUCGCUUUCUUCUAUUAUACUGAAACCAGUUCAAAUCAAAUCGGCACUUUUGUGUGAGAAGUGGUCAUUCACCGAUAAUCUUCCCAUUGUUAACUACUGCAACGAGUCAGGGAUAUGAGAUAAACUUCAGAAUAAGUACAGUGAUGGCCUGAAGUGGGAGAUGCUUGUGACAUUUGUGGGGAACUCAUCCAACUGGCCAGCCAUCCUUGAGGAAAUGCCAAGAGGCCGGGUGAGCUGUUGUCAUAGCAGAUGCAUCAAAAGAGGGCAGAGCUUCAAGCAAAACUGGCAAAACAAUGCAGGACAAUCUGACGCACUGAAAAUGUCAGAAACUCUCAGUAGUGGUGUUCAGCCUUAUGUUCAAAAUGGAAACAGUUUAAAAGCCAGUCAUCUGGUUGUGCUGUGCGUAAUAAAUGCACAUUUAUGUAUUACACAGACGG